This 500-nucleotide ribosomal RNA is filed under the name uncultured bacterium. Its description in RNAcentral is "partial 16S ribosomal RNA". It matches the Rfam family "Bacterial small subunit ribosomal RNA", at positions 30 to 523 of the family's 1533-position model. The record is from RNAcentral.
AUUGAACGCUGGCGGAAUGCUUUACACAUGCAAGUCGAACGGCAGCACGGACUUCGGUCUGGUGGCGAGUGGCGAACGGGUGAGUAAUGUAUCGGAACGUGCCCAGUCGUGGGGGAUAACGUAGUGAAAAUUACGCUAAUACCGCAUACGAUCUAUGGAUGAAAGCGGGGGAUCGCAAGACCUCGCGCGAUUGGAGCGGCCGAUAUCAGAUUAGGUAGUUGGUGGGGUAAAGGCCGACCAAGCCAACGAUCUGUAGCCAGUCUGAGAGGACGACCCACCCAACUGGAAAUGAGGAACGGUCCAGACCCCUAAGGGAGGCAAAAGUGGGGAAUUUUGGACAAUGAGCGAAAGCCUGAUCCAGCCAUUCCGCGUGCAGGAUGAAGGCCCUCGGGUUGUAAACUGCUUUUGUACAGAACGAAAAGGUUUCUACUAAUACUAGGAGCUCAUGACGGUACUGUAAGAAUAAGCACCGGCUAACUACGUGCCAGCCGCCGCAGUAA